This is a non-coding RNA of Pelobates cultripes (western spadefoot toad), 386 nucleotides long. NCBI's taxonomy places the organism in Eukaryota, Metazoa, Chordata, Amphibia, Anura, Pelobatidae. The record is from the annotation of a GenBank genome assembly.
CUCCCCACAAAAACAUAAAGGAAAAAAAACAUGCAUGCUUAAAGGACCACUAUAGUGCCAGGAAAACAUACUUGUUUUCCUGGCUCUAUAACGUCCUUGGGUCCCCCUCCCGCCGUGCUGUAGGGGGAGGAAGGGGUCAAUCCCUCACCUUUUUUCCAGCGCCGGGAACUCUCCUCCUCCUUUCCCGUCAUCGACUGAAAGCACAAGCGGGGCAUGAGCCGUGCGCGCAGUCAGCCAGUCUCAUAGGAAAGCAUUAUCAAUGCUUUCCUAUGGAUGUUGGCGUCUUCUCACUGUGAAAAUCACAGUGAGAAGCGCGGAAGCGCCUCUAGCGGCUGUCAGUGAGACAGCCACUAGAGGCUGGAUUAACCCAUAGGUAAACAGAGCAG